AGUCGAACGGCAGCGCGGGGCAACCUGGCGGCGAGUGGCGAACGGGUGAGUAAUAUAUCGGAACGUACCCUGGAGUGGGGGAUAACGUAGCGAAAGUUACGCUAAUACCGCAUACGAUCUAAGGAUGAAAGUGGGGGCUCGCAAGACCUCAUGCUCCUGGAGCGGCCGAUAUCUGAUUAGCUAGUUGGUAGGGUAAAAGCCUACCAAGGCAUCGAUCAGUAGCUGGUCUGAGAGGACGACCAGCCACACUGGAACUGAGACACGGUCCAGACUCCUACGGGAGGCAGCAGUGGGGAAUUUUGGACAAUGGGCGCAAGCCUGAUCCAGCAAUGCCGCGUGAGUGAAGAAGGCCUUCGGGUUGUAAAGCUCUUUUGUCAGGGAAGAAACGGUGGGGGCUAAUAUCUCCCACUAAUGACGGUACCUGAAGAAUAAGCACCGGCUAACUACGUGCCAGCAGCCGCGGUAAUACGUAGGGUGCAAGCGUUAAUCGGAAUUACUGGGCGUAAAGCGUGCGCAGGCGGUUUUGUAAGUUUGUCGUGAAAUCCCCGGGCUCAACCUGGGAAUGGCGAUGAAGACUGCAAGGCUAGAAUCUGGCAGAGGGGGGUAGAAUUCCACGUGUAGCAGUGAAAUGCGUAGAGAUGUGGAGGAACACCGAUGGCGAAGGCAGCCCCCUGGGUCAAGAUUGACGCUCAUGCACGAAAGCGUGGGGAGCAAACAGGAUUAGAUACCCUGGUAGUCCACGCCCUAAACGAUGUCUACUAGUUGUCGGGUUUUAAUUAACUUGGUAACGCAGCUAACGCGUGAAGUAGACCGCCUGGGGAGUACGGUCGCAAGAUUAAAACUCAAAGGAAUUGACGGGGACCCGCACAAGCGGUGGAUGGAUGUGGAUUAAUUCGAUGCAACGCGAAAAACCUUA
RNAcentral lists this ribosomal RNA (916 nucleotides) under Massilia sp. Ume54. Its description in RNAcentral is "bacterial SSU rRNA". It matches the Rfam family "Bacterial small subunit ribosomal RNA", at positions 60 to 973 of the family's 1533-position model. Lineage: Bacteria; Pseudomonadati; Pseudomonadota; Betaproteobacteria; Burkholderiales; Oxalobacteraceae. The record is from RNAcentral.